CGCAAGCCUGACGGAGCAAGACCGCGUGGGGGAUGAAGGUUUGUGGAUUGUAAACCCCUUUUGUCAGGGAAGAAUGAUGACGGUACCUGACGAAUCAGCAUCGGCUAACUCCGUGCCAGCAGCCGCGGUAAUACGGAGGAUGCAAGCGUUAUCCGGAAUUAUUGGGCGUAAAGCGUCCGCAGGUGGUUGAGUAAGUCUGCUGUCAAAGCGCGAGGCUUAACUUCGUAUAGGCAGUGGAAACUACUAGACUAGAGUGCGGUAGGGGCAGAGGGAAUUCCCAGUGUAGCGGUGAAAUGCGUAGAUAUUGGGAAGAACACCGGUGGCGAAAGCGCUCUGCUGGGCCUGCACUGACACUGAUGGACGAAAGCUA
This 370-nucleotide ribosomal RNA is filed under the name uncultured cyanobacterium. Its description in RNAcentral is "bacterial SSU rRNA". It matches the Rfam family "Bacterial small subunit ribosomal RNA", at positions 376 to 762 of the family's 1533-position model. The record is from RNAcentral. Lineage: Bacteria; Bacillati; Cyanobacteriota.